RNAcentral lists this transfer RNA (76 nucleotides) under Klebsiella pneumoniae. Its description in RNAcentral is "tRNA-Thr". It matches the Rfam family "tRNA". From Rfam's summary of the family: Transfer RNA (tRNA) molecules are approximately 80 nucleotides in length. Their secondary structure includes four short double-helical elements and three loops (D, anti-codon, and T loops). The record is from RNAcentral. Lineage: Bacteria; Pseudomonadati; Pseudomonadota; Gammaproteobacteria; Enterobacterales; Enterobacteriaceae.
GCUGAUAUGGCUCAGUUGGUAGGGCGCACCCUUGGUAAGGGUGAGGUCCCCAGUUCGACUCUGGGUAUCAGCACCA